This 407-nucleotide ribosomal RNA is filed under the name uncultured prokaryote. RNAcentral describes it as "bacterial SSU rRNA". It matches the Rfam family "Bacterial small subunit ribosomal RNA", at positions 355 to 776 of the family's 1533-position model. The record is from RNAcentral. RNAcentral also lists the same sequence under 1 other name.
UGGGGAAUAUUGCACAAUGGGCGCAAGCCUGAUGCAGCGACGCCGCGUGAGGGAAGACGGCCUUCGGGUUGUAAACCUCUUUUGUACGGGAAGAAGGAAGUGACGGUACUGUACGAAUAAGUCCCGGCUAACUACGUGCCAGCAGCCGCGGUAAUACGUAGGGCGCAAGCGUUGUCCGGAAUUAUUGGUCGUAAAGAGCUCGUAGGCGGUUUGUCGCGUCUGCUGUGAAAACCCGAGGCUCAACCUCGGGCUUGCAGUGGGUACGGGCAGACUAGAGUGCGGUAGGGGAGACUGGAAUUCCUGGUGUAGCGGUGGAAUGCGCAGAUAUCAGGAGGAACACCGAUGGCGAAGGCAGGUCUCUGGGCCGCAACUGACGCUGAGGAGCGAAAGCAUGGGGAGCGAACAGG